GACGAACGCUGGCGGCGUGCUUAACACAUGCAAGUCGAACGGAAAGGCCCUGCUUUUGUGGGGUGCUCGAGUGGCGAACGGGUGAGUAACACGUGAGUAACCUGCCCUUGACUUUGGGAUAACUUCAGGAAACUGGGGCUAAUACCGGAUAGGAGCUCCUGCUGCAUGGUGGGGGUUGGAAAGUUUCGGCGGUUGGGGAUGGACUCGCGGCUUAUCAGCUUGUUGGUGGGGUAGUGGCUUACCAAGGCUUUGACGGGUAGCCGGCCUGAGAGGGUGACCGGCCACAUUGGGACUGAGAUACGGCCAAGACUACUACGGGAGGCAGCAGUGGGGAAUAUUGCACAAUGGGCGGGAGCCUGAUGCAGCAACGCCGCGUGCGGGAUGACGGCCUUCGGGUUGUAAACCGCUUUCGCCUGUGACGAAGCGUGAGUGACGGUAAUGGGUAAAGAAGCACCGGCUAACUACGUG
This 468-nucleotide ribosomal RNA is filed under the name uncultured bacterium. RNAcentral describes it as "partial 16S ribosomal RNA". It matches the Rfam family "Bacterial small subunit ribosomal RNA", at positions 28 to 507 of the family's 1533-position model. The record is from RNAcentral.